UCCUCCGUAGCUCAAUUGGCAGAGCAUCCGGCUGUUAACCGGAGUGUUCCUGGUUCGAGUCCAGGCGGAGGAG
RNAcentral lists this transfer RNA (73 nucleotides) under Caldilineales bacterium. RNAcentral describes it as "tRNA-Asn". It matches the Rfam family "tRNA". Rfam says of the family: Transfer RNA (tRNA) molecules are approximately 80 nucleotides in length. Their secondary structure includes four short double-helical elements and three loops (D, anti-codon, and T loops). Further hydrogen bonds mediate the characteristic L-shaped molecular structure. tRNAs have two regions of fundamental functional importance: the anti-codon, which is responsible for specific mRNA codon recognition, and the 3' end, to which the tRNAs corresponding amino acid is attached (by aminoacyl-tRNA synthetases). tRNAs cope with the degeneracy of the genetic code in two manners: having more than one tRNA (with a specific anti-codon) for a particular amino acid; and 'wobble' base-pairing, i.e. permitting non-standard base-pairing at the 3rd anti-codon position. Lineage: Bacteria; Bacillati; Chloroflexota; Caldilineae; Caldilineales. The record is from RNAcentral.